Molecule: microRNA precursor, 93 nt
Filed under: Pan troglodytes (chimpanzee)
Lineage: Eukaryota; Metazoa; Chordata; Mammalia; Primates; Hominidae
Description: microRNA ptr-mir-506 precursor
Gene: ptr-mir-506
Rfam family: mir-506 microRNA precursor family (bases 8-88)
Source: miRBase by way of RNAcentral
CCAUACUAUGUGUAGUGCCUUAUUCAGGAAGGUGUUACUUAAUAGAUUAAUAUUUGUAAGGCACCCUUCUGAGUAGAGUAAUGUGCAACAUGG